AUUGAACGCUGGCGGCAGGCCUAACACAUGCAAGUCGAACGGUAACAGGAAGCAGCUUGCUGCUUUGCUGACGAGUGGCGGACGGGUGAGUAAUGUCUGGGAAACUGCCUGAUGGAGGGGGAUAACUACUGGAAACGGUAGCUAAUACCGCAUAACGUCGCAAGACCAAAGAGGGGGACCUUCGGGCCUCUUGCCAUCGGAUGUGCCCAGAUGGGAUUAGCUUGUUGGUGGGGUAACGGCUCACCAAGGCGACGAUCCCUAGCUGGUCUGAGAGGAUGACCAGCCACACUGGAACUGAGACACGGUCCAGACUCCUACGGUAGGCAGCAGUGGGGAAUAUUGCACAAUGGGCGCAAGCCUGAUGCAGCCAUGCCGCGUGUAUGAAGAAGGCCUUCGGGUUGUAAAGUACUUUCAGCGGGGAGGAAGGGAGUAAAGUUAAUACCUUUACUCAUUGACGUUACCCGCAGAAGAAGCACCGGCUAACUCCGUGCCAGCAGCCGCGGUAAUACGGAGGGUGCAAGCGUUAAUCGGAAUUACUGGGCGUAAAGCGCACGCAGGCGGUUUGUUAAGUCAGAUGUGAAAUCCCCGGGCUCAACCUGGGAACUGCAUCUGAUACUGGCAAGCUUGAGUCUCGUAGAGGGGGGUAGAAUUCCAGGUGUAGCGGUGAAAUGCGUAGAGAUCUGGAGGAAUACCGGUGGCGAAGGCGGCCCCCUGGACGAAGACUGACGCUCAGGUGCGAAAGCGUGGGGGAGCAAACAGGAUUAGAUACCCUGGUAGUCCACGCCGUAAACGAUGUCGACUUGGAGGUUGUGCCCUUGAGGCGUGGCUUCCGGAGCUAACGCGUUAAGUCGACCGCCUGGGGAGUACGGCCGCAAGGUUAAAACUCAAAUGAAUUGACGGGGGCCCGCACAAGCGGUGGAGCAUGUGGUUUAAUUCGAUGCAACGCGAAGAACCUUACCUGGUCUUGACAUCCACGGAAGUUUUCAGAGAUGAGAAUGUGCCUUCGGGAACCGUGAGACAGGUGCUGCAUGGCUGUCGUCAGCUCGUGUUGUGAAAUGUUGGGUUAAGUCCCGCAACGAGCGCAACCCUUAUCCUUUGUUGCCAGCGGUCCGGCCGGGAACUCAAAGGAGACUGCCAGUGAUAAACUGGAGGAAGGUGGGGAUGACGUCAAGUCAUCAUGGCCCUUACGACCAGGGCUACACACGUGCUACAAUGGCGCAUACAAAGAGAAGCGACCUCGCGAGAGCAAGCGGACCUCAUAAAGUGCGUCGUAGUCCGGAUUGGAGUCUGCAACUCGACUCCAUGAAGUCGGAAUCGCUAGUAAUCGUGGAUCAGAAUGCCACGGUGAAUACGUUCCCGGGCCU
This 1364-nucleotide ribosomal RNA is filed under the name uncultured bacterium. RNAcentral describes it as "bacterial SSU rRNA". It matches the Rfam family "Bacterial small subunit ribosomal RNA", at positions 28 to 1381 of the family's 1533-position model. The record is from RNAcentral.